GACGAACGCUGGCGGCGUGCCUAAUACAUGCAAGUAGGACGCACAGUUUAUACCGUAGCUUGCUACACCAUAGACUGUGAGUUGCGAACGGGUGAGUAACGCGUAGGUAACCUGCCUAUUAGAGGGGGAUAACUAUUGGAAACGAUAGCUAAUACCGCAUAACAGUAUGUAACACAUGUUAGAUGCUUGAAAGAUGCAAUUGCAUCGCUAGUAGAUGGACCUGCGUUGUAUUAGCUAGUAGGUAGGGUAAUGGCCUACCUAGGCGACGAUACAUAGCCGACCUGAGAGGGUGAUCGGCCACACUGGGACUGAGACACGGCCCAGACUCCUACGGGAGGCAGCAGUAGGGAAUCUUCGGCAAUGGGGGGAACCCUGACCGAGCAACGCCGCGUGAGUGAAGAAGGUUUUCGGAUCGUAAAGCUCUGUUGUUAAGGAAGAACGAGUGUGAGAAUGGA
Molecule: ribosomal RNA, 455 nt
Filed under: Streptococcus anginosus
Lineage: Bacteria; Bacillati; Bacillota; Bacilli; Lactobacillales; Streptococcaceae
Description: bacterial SSU rRNA
Rfam family: Bacterial small subunit ribosomal RNA
Source: RNAcentral